UAUGUUAAUGUAACAGAGACUAAUAAAAAAUGUUCGUACGUCAAAACGAAAUGAUUUAUAAAAAUUACGAAUUUAUGGCGUUUUCAAUAAACAAAUUAUUUUCGACCAAUUAGAAUCCUCGAAAUUGGUAAAUAGAUGGCGCUAGAAAGAAAAAUCAUAGCGCGACUUUAGUUUUAUUUGAACGCGUAAGAAUGUAUCACGAGGCAUGGCGUCAACUCGGUAAUCAAGUUACUUUUUUGGAUUUAUAUAUUUUACAAUCAAGUUUCAUCUUCGAAGAUAUCGUAUAAAUUGCCGUCAGCGCCUUCACGUUGGGACUCACCUUUUGCUGUACUCCGUUAAGGAAUGGCGCGGGUAGAUAGGGAUAGAAGAGAUCCGGCCGUCGCUGGAGGAACUCCGAGUCCUUGGGAGUGAUGGGCAGAGGUGGCAGAUCCAACGACAUGCGUCGUCCUCGCCGCGAGGCCCCGUUGGUCCACAUAUGGGUUCCCAUGUGUACCUGCAUCGAAAUAACAAGAGAGAGAGCCAACAUCAGUUUGACGUCCGACUGGUCAGUGGGUGCUGGUAAGAAGAGAGCAAGGUUGAAGGUUAUAUUCAUGAGCAAAGACACCAGGAAAGGUCAAAGUUCGGUUAACGCGUGCAAAUACUGGCAGACAUCGGAUCUCCUUCGUUCGACUCGACGAUAUAGGGGAGGAGGAAACGAAGAAAGAGAAGAAGGAGAAGGAGAAGAAGGAGGAGAAGGAGGAGGAGGAGGAAGAGGAGGAGGAGGAGGAGGAGGAGAACGUUUAAGAAAAAAGAAUGGAGGAACGAGAAGCAGCAUGAUUCUGUGCUCCCAUAGUCCCAGGCGUAUCCACUUACAGGUGACACUAUGGUCACGAUGGUUUGUGCAUGAGUUGGUAGUAGUGUAGUAAUAGUAGUAGUAAUAUUAGUAGUAGUAGGUAGAUUUGAAAAGGAUAAUAAGAUUACGAAGAAGUUCUACGACGAAAAUCAAAUCUUUUUCAAACUUUUCGUUAGAUAUAUCUACGUAUAGACAAGUGCAAAUAUACAUACACAGACAGACACACGCAUACUAAGAAACGUAGUUGUUGUACGAAUAAACGCGAAGUACUUUUAACUAAUUGAUUUUAAAGUUUAACUUCAGUUCUUUCACAGAUAGAACGAUCACCGAUGAUCGCGAUAAUACACGAGAAAGUUUAGCGAUCGUUGAAUCCUCAUCGCGUUCCUCCUCUUGUAAGCCACCCGAUCGUGUGAGUUCGAGCGGACCGCUAAUUGGCCGGAGAGCGGCGGAAACGUAUGGAAGGAGAGUAAUUUGUUGCCAAUUUCGCGUUGAUUUCGUUUCAUCUAUGGAUCGACGUUGGGAUCGAAUAAAUUUUGUAGUCCUCUAUAGAUAGUCACAAGCGAGGACAAACCGAUAAUAUUAUAAUAUGGAAUUAUCGAUAAUAUCAACGCGGAUCGAAAGAUAUGACAUAA
Vespula vulgaris is the source of this 1464-nucleotide long non-coding RNA. RefSeq lists it as uncharacterized. The transcript is spliced from 4 exons. Lineage: Eukaryota; Metazoa; Arthropoda; Insecta; Hymenoptera; Vespidae. The record is from RefSeq and is a predicted model, not a curated record.